RNAcentral lists this ribosomal RNA (702 nucleotides) under Nocardiopsis sp. 11716. Its description in RNAcentral is "bacterial SSU rRNA". It matches the Rfam family "Bacterial small subunit ribosomal RNA", at positions 56 to 762 of the family's 1533-position model. The record is from RNAcentral. Lineage: Bacteria; Bacillati; Actinomycetota; Actinomycetes; Streptosporangiales; Nocardiopsidaceae.
UGCAGUCGAGCGGUAAGGCCCUUCGGGGUACACGAGCGGCGAACGGGUGAGUAACACGUGAGCAACCUGCCCCUGACUCCGGGAUAAGCGGUGGAAACGCCGUCUAAUACCGGAUACGACCCUCCUCCGCAUGGUGGGGGGUGGAAAGUUUUUUCGGUCGGGGAUGGGCUCGCGGCCUAUCAGCUUGUUGGUGGGGUAACGGCCUACCAAGGCGAUUACGGGUAGCCGGCCUGAGAGGGCGACCGGCCACACUGGGACUGAGACACGGCCCAGACUCCUGCGGGAGGCAGCAGUGGGGAAUAUUGCGCAAUGGGCGAAAGCCUGACGCAGCGACGCCGCGUGGGGGAUGACGGCCUUCGGGUUGUAAACCUCUUUUACCACUCACGCAGGCCCCACGUUUUCGUGGGGUUGACGGUAGGUGGGGAAUAAGGACCGGCUAACUACGUGCCAGCAGCCGCGGUAAUACGUAGGGUCCGAGCGUUGUCCGGAAUUAUUGGGCGUAAAGAGCUCGUAGGCGGCGUGUCGCGUCUGCUGUGAAAGACCGGGGCUUAACCCCGGUUCUGCAGUGGAUACGGGCAUGCUAGAGGUAGGUAGGGGAGACUGGAAUUCCUGGUGUAGCGGUGAAAUGCGCAGAUAUCAGGAGGAACACCGGUGGCGAAGGCGGGUCUCUGGGCCUUACCUGACGCUGAGGAGCGAAAGCAU